Molecule: ribosomal RNA, 440 nt
Filed under: uncultured bacterium
Lineage: Bacteria
Description: partial 16S ribosomal RNA
Rfam family: Bacterial small subunit ribosomal RNA
Source: RNAcentral
CCUACGGGCGGCUGCAGUAGGGAAUAUUGCUCAAUGGGGGAAACCCUGAAGCAGCAACGCCGCGUGGAGGAUGAAGGUUUUCGGAUUGUAAACUCCUUUUGUUAGAGAAGAUAAUGACGGUAUCUAACGAAUAAGCACCGGCUAACUCCGUGCCAGCAGCCGCGGUAAUACGGGGGGUGCAAGCGUUACUCGGAAGCACUGGGCGUAAAGAGCGCGUAGGCGGGAUAGCAAGUCAGAUGUGAAAUCCUAGGGCUUAACCAUAGAACUGCAUUUGAAACUGUUAUUCUAGAGUAUGGGAGAGGUAGGUGGAAUUCUUGGUGUAGGGGUAAAAUCCGUAGAGAUCAAGAGGAAUACUCAUUGCGAAGGCGACCUGCUAGAACAUAACUGACGCUGAUGCGCGAAAGCGUGGGGAGCAAACAGGAUUAGAUACCCGGGUAGUC